Molecule: unclassified non-coding RNA, 415 nt
Filed under: Hevea brasiliensis (rubber tree)
Lineage: Eukaryota; Viridiplantae; Streptophyta; Magnoliopsida; Malpighiales; Euphorbiaceae
Source: RNAcentral
CAACUCCAAAGGAAAUGGAGAGGACUUAAACCGCAUAAACCGCAUAAACCGCAUGACAUCUUGUUUGAUUACGACUUCAAUCCCAAAAUCUCAUAUUUUGGAUUGGCUAAGGUUGGUGCUAAGGAUCAGAGUGUGGAGCCCAUGACAACGGCGAGAGGGACCUCUAUUAUGUGAAUUUAAACCAUGCAAUGUAGGGAUUGGAGGAAUUGAGAAAACAUUAAUCAGAUUGUGUUUUUGCGUUAAAUUACUUUACUCAAUUUGAGUGUAUCAAAAGUAGAUAUGGUAUUUUUUGCACGUGUAUGUUAGAUUGCAGAUGUGCCAUGGAUGCGUAUAAGAUUGCAGGUGUACCAGAGAUGCAUAUAAUCCCAUUUGUAAAUGUACUUGCACUAGUCUGACUUCUAAUUGGAAUGAUUGG